This 373-nucleotide ribosomal RNA is filed under the name uncultured bacterium. Its description in RNAcentral is "bacterial SSU rRNA". It matches the Rfam family "Bacterial small subunit ribosomal RNA", at positions 527 to 898 of the family's 1533-position model. The record is from RNAcentral.
GAACCGUCCAAACGUUAUUCGGAUUCAUUGGGCUUAAAGGGUACGUAGGCGGCGCUUCAAGUCGGGUGUGAAAUCCCUCGGCUCAACCGAGGAACUGCGCCCGAUACUGGAGUGCUUGAGGGAGACAGAGGUAAGCGGAACUGAUGGUGGAGCGGUGAAAUGCGUUGAUAUCAUCAGGAACACCAGUGGCGAAAGCGGCUUACUGGGUCUCUUCUGACGCUGAGGUACGAAAGCUAGGGGAGCGAACGGGAUUAGAUACCCCGGUAGUCCUAGCUGUAAACGUUGAGCACUUGAUUGAGGGCCCCCCCAUAGGCUCUCGGUCGAAGCGAAAGUGAUAAGUGCUCCGCCUGGGGAGUAUGGUCGCAAGGCUGAA